Molecule: ribosomal RNA, 247 nt
Filed under: uncultured bacterium
Lineage: Bacteria
Description: partial 16S ribosomal RNA
Rfam family: Bacterial small subunit ribosomal RNA
Source: RNAcentral
AGACGUAGGGGGCAAGCGUUGUCCGGAAUCAUUGGGCGUAAAGGGCGUGUAGGUGGAUUUUUAAGUCGUGUGUCUAAGUGCGGGGCUCAACCCCGUAUGGGCGCAGGAAACUGGAAAUCUUGAGUGCAGGAGAGGAAAGUGGAAUUCCCAGUGUAGCGGUGAAAUGCGUAGAUAUUGGGAGGAACACCAGUGGCGAAGGCGAUUUUCUGGACUGUGUCUGACACUGAGGCGCGAAAGCCAGGGGAGC